GAUGAACGCUGGCGGCGUGCCUAAUACAUGCAAGUCGAGCGAACGGACGAGAAGCUUGCGUCUCUGAGGUUAGCGGCGGACGGGUGAGUAACACGUGGAUAACCUACCUAUAAGACUGGGAGAACUUCGGGAAACCGGAGCUAAUACCGGAUGAUAUUUUGAACCGCAUGGUUCAAAAGUGAAAGACGGUCUUGCUGUCACUUAUGGAUGGAUCCGCGCUGCAUUAGCUAGUUGGUAAGGUAACGGCCUACCAAGGCAACGAUGCAUAGCUGACCUGAGAGGGUGAUCGGCCACACUGGAACUGAGACACGGUCCAGACUCCUACGGGAGGCAGCAGUAGGGAAUCUUCCGCAAUGGGCGAAAGCCUGACGGAGCAACGCCGCGUGAGUGGUGAAGGUCUUCGGAUCGUAAAGCUCUGUUAUUAGGGAAGAACAUCUGUGUAAGUAACCGUGCACAUCUUGACGGUACCUAAUCAGAAAGCCCCGGCUAACCACGUG
This 497-nucleotide ribosomal RNA is filed under the name uncultured bacterium. RNAcentral's name for it is "partial 16S ribosomal RNA". It matches the Rfam family "Bacterial small subunit ribosomal RNA", at positions 28 to 507 of the family's 1533-position model. The record is from RNAcentral.